AAUGAACGCUGGCGGCAGGCCUAACACAUGCAAGUCGAACGGAUCCUUCGGGAUUAUUGGCGGACGGGUGAGUAACGCGUGGGAACAUACCCUUUGGUACGGAAUAGCCUCGGGAAACUGGGAGUAAUACCGUAUGUGGAUGAGAGACGAAAGAUUUAGCGCCAAAGGAGUGGCCCGCGUGGGAUUAGGGAGUUGGUGGGGGAAUGGCCUACCAAGCCGACGAUCCAUAGCUGGUUGGAGAGGAUGAUCAGACACACUGGGACUGAGACACGGCCCAGACUCCUACGGGAGGCAGCAGUGGGGGAGCUUCGACGAUGGGGGAAUCCGUGAUCUAGCCAUGCCGCGUGAUCGAUGAAGGCCUUAGGGUUGUCAAGAUCUUUCAGGUGGGAAGAUAAUGACUGUACCACCAGAAGAAGCCCCGGCUAACUCCGUGCCAGCCGCCGCGGUAA
RNAcentral lists this ribosomal RNA (449 nucleotides) under uncultured bacterium. RNAcentral describes it as "partial 16S ribosomal RNA". It matches the Rfam family "Bacterial small subunit ribosomal RNA", at positions 29 to 523 of the family's 1533-position model. The record is from RNAcentral.